GUGGGGAAUCUUCCGCAAUGGACGAAAGUCUGACGGAGCGACGCCGCGUGAGUGAAGAAGGCCUUCGGGUCGUAAAGCUCUGUCAUCAGGGACGAACGGCCGGUGGAGUGGAAAGCCACCGGAUUGACGGUACCUGAGAAGGAAGCCACGGCUAACUACGUGCCAGCAGCCGCGGUAAUACGUAGGUGGCAAGCGUUGUCCGGAAUUAUUGGGCGUAAAGCGCGCGCAGGUGGGAUCUUAAGUCCAUUUUUAAAGUUCGGGGCUCAACUCCGUGAUGGGAUGGAAACUGGGAUUCUUGAGUACCGGAGAGGAAAGCGGAAUUCCCCGUGUAGCGGUGAAAUGCGUAGAUAUGGGGAGGAACACCAGUGGCGAAGGCGGCUUUCUGGACGGUGUCUGACACUGAGGCGCGAAAGCCAGGGGAGCGAACGGGAUUAGAAACCCCAGUAGUCC
RNAcentral lists this ribosomal RNA (450 nucleotides) under uncultured bacterium. RNAcentral describes it as "partial 16S ribosomal RNA". It matches the Rfam family "Bacterial small subunit ribosomal RNA", at positions 354 to 796 of the family's 1533-position model. The record is from RNAcentral.